This 244-nucleotide unclassified non-coding RNA is filed under the name Hevea brasiliensis (rubber tree). The record is from RNAcentral. Lineage: Eukaryota; Viridiplantae; Streptophyta; Magnoliopsida; Malpighiales; Euphorbiaceae.
GGGGAUGGGCGUGUGAGGAGGUCUAAGAGGAUCAGCCUGAAAGUUCCAGCGGGAGUCGACUCCCAGAGUCGGUUGAGGGUCCGAUCUGAGGGAAAUGCUGGACGAAGAGGCGGUCCACCGGGAGACCUCUAUGUGUUCAUUGAAGUUCUUCCUGAUCCUAUCCUCAAGCGUGAGGGUACCAACAUCCUCUACACAUGCAAGGUCCCAUACACCGAUGCAAUUCUGGGGACCACGGUUAAGGUCC